This is a non-coding RNA of Cricetulus griseus (Chinese hamster), 1085 nucleotides long. Lineage: Eukaryota; Metazoa; Chordata; Mammalia; Rodentia; Cricetidae. The record is from RefSeq and is a predicted model, not a curated record.
UGGCUGGGGAGGCACGAGCGUGGCUGUCAGCAGAGUUCCCUUGUCAGCGCCGGCCCCAGCCUCCCCGCUUAAAGAUCGCCUCAGGCGCUCUCUUAAAGACGAGAACGCUGCUGCUGACAUUUGGGAGAUCCUGGCAGCCGAUCAAAACCAAGCUGAAAAUCGGAGCUGCGGGGAGGGGCGGGCACCAGGCAGCCGGGACCCGACUGCCUGGGCCUGCCAGGGCCAAGGGCGCCAGAGCUAGGGCAAGUCCUGGCUGAGGCAAUACCUGCAGACUGGCCCUGACCGUCUGGGUGAUCCAUUCCUUUAGAAGAGGACAGAGCUAGAGCUAAGGAGGAGGCGCGCGGAGUCAACAGGUCUCGGCAAAUAAUCAUGCCUCAGCCAAAAUCCCAGCCCAGAGCGAAGAAUUAUGCUCCACACAAAGGGAAGGAAGUCCUGGUGUGAGCCACACAUGUCCAGCAUCACCUGUACCUGUGGCCGCCAUCAUACUUUGUUCUGACCACCACUGCUCCCUGCUUAGCCUCUGGACUUGGAUUGUGUGGCAGACAUUCCCCUGCCCUUCCCAAGCCUCCAGGCCUGAAGCCCUACAGACCACACACAUGGAGGAGUCCUUCUGAAAUCUAGCUUCACAGCAAUGCCCUGCCCCCUGGAUAGGGUCCUACACAUCCCAUCUUGGCCUGUGCAGCUUUUCCAAGUUGGCCAGUGGUUGACGUCUCUGGGCUCCUGUAAGGAAGGGUCCAUCAAGUUCAUGGCUUUCCAUAGUAAAUCCACAUAGUCCCAGAUGAAUUGCCGGGCUAUCUUGGCCUCUCUAGGCUUUUGCCUAGAAAAUUCCAGAGUCAUCAACUCCCCCUGCUCACCCCUACCCCAACGCUACUUAGACCCUCAUACCAUCAGGUCCCCAGAAGCCAGUUGAAAUCAUCAUCAGGUGUCCCCCCACCCCCACCCCCGGGGUAGGGGCUGGAUAUCACUACAGCUACAAAAAUAUUCUAGCUUCCCACCCCCAGACCUUCUCUGCCUAGAUCUGGCCACUUCUAUUGGGUAUUUGUGCAUUAAACCAAAGCCAGCUGCUUGGCUUCUUUUUCUGCCUA